UGAAUACGAGACGCUAAGGCGUUGAAGUAGUGUAUAUCAUACUUCCAAGAAAAGCUUGCACUGUCAUAGAUAAAAAACGCCUGUACCAUAACCGACACAGGUGGGUAGGUAGAGUAUACUAAGGGGCGCGAGAUAACUCUCUCUAAGGAACUCGGCAAAAUAACUCCGUAACUUCGGGAGAAGGAGUGCCUUAUUUAUAAGGUUGCAAUAACAAGAUCCAAGCAACUGUUUAUCAAAAACACAGGUCUCCGCUAAGUCGUAAGACGAUGUAUGGGGGCUGACGCCUGCCCAGUGCCAGAAGGUUAAAGAAGUUGGUUAGCAAUAGCGAAGCUGAUAACUGAAGCCCUGGUGAACGGCGGCCGUAACUAUAACGGUCCUAAGGUAGCGAAAUUCCUUGUCGGGUAAGUUCCGACCCGCACGAAAGGCGUAAUGAUUUGGAUACUGUCUCGGAGAGGGGCUCGGUGAAAUAGACUUGUCUGUGAAGAUGCGGACUACCUGCACCAGGACAGAAAGACCCUAUGAAGCUUUACUGUAACUUGAAAUUGAAAUUGGACUUUAUUCGCGCAGUAUAGGUGGGAGGCGUUGAUUGUAAUCUUGCGGGAUUAUUGGAGCCAUCAGUGAGAUACCACCCUUGUAAUGUUAGAUUUCUAACUUUGAAUCAUUAUCUGGUCAAAGAACAGUUUCAGGCGGGCAGUUUGACUGGGGCGGUCGCCUCCUAAACGGUAACGGAGGCGUACAAAGGUUUCCUCUGAACGGUUAGAAAUCGUAUCUAGAGUGUAAAGGCAUAAGGAAGCUUGACUGUGAGACCUACAAGUCGAGCAGGGACGAAAGUCGGUCUUAGUGAUCUGACGGUACUGAGUGGAAAGGCCGUCACUCAACGGAUAAAAGUUACUCUAAGGAUAACAGGCUGAUCUCCCCCAAGAGUUCACAUCGACGGGGAGGUUUGGCACCUGAUGUCGGCUCAUCGCAUCCUGGGGCGGUAGUACGUCCCAAGGGUUGGGCUGUUCGCCCAUGAAAGCGGUACGCGAGCUGGGUUCAGAACGUCGUGAGACAGUUCGGUCCAUAUCCGGUGUAGGCGUUAGAAUAUUGAGAGGAGCCUUCUUUAGUACGAGAGGACCGAGAAGGACAUACCUCUGGUGUACCAGUUAUCGUGCCAACGGUAAACGCUGGGUAGCUAUGUAUGGAGUGGAUAACCGCUGAAAGCAUCUAAGUGGGAAGCCCACCUCAAGAUAAGUAUUCUC
This 1241-nucleotide ribosomal RNA is filed under the name metagenome. Its description in RNAcentral is "bacterial LSU rRNA". It matches the Rfam family "Bacterial large subunit ribosomal RNA", at positions 1564 to 2815 of the family's 2925-position model. The record is from RNAcentral.